UACGGGGGGAGCAAGCGUUGUUCGGAUUUACUGGGCGUAAAGGGCGCGUAGGCGGCGCGACAAGUCACUUGUGAAAUCUCCGGGCUUAACUCGGUAGAGGCCAAGCGAUACUGUCGUGCUCGAGUGCGGAAGGGGCAACCGGAAUUCUUGGUGUAGCGGUGAAAUGCGUAGAUAUCAAGAGGAACACCUGCGGCGAAGGCGGGUUGCUGGGCCGACACUGACGCUGAGGCGCGAAAGCUAGGGGAGCGAACGGG
Molecule: ribosomal RNA, 254 nt
Filed under: uncultured bacterium
Lineage: Bacteria
Description: partial 16S ribosomal RNA
Rfam family: Bacterial small subunit ribosomal RNA
Source: RNAcentral